GACGAACGCUGGCGGCGUGCCUAACACAUGCAAGUAGAACGCACAGUUUAUACCGUAGCUUGCUACACCAUAGACUGUGAGUUGCGAACGGGUGAGUUACGCGUAGCUAACCUGCCUGGUAGCGUGGGAUAACUAUUGGAAACGAUAGCUAAUACCGCCUAAUAUUCAUUAUUGCAUGAUAAUUGAUUGAAAGAUGCAACUGCAUCACUACCAGCUGGACCUGCGUUGUAUUAGCUAGUAGGUGAGGUAACGGCUAACCUAGGCGGCGAUACAUAGCCGAACGGCGUGGGGGAGCGGCCACACUGGGACUGAGACACGGCCCAGAGUCAUAGGGGAGGGAGCAGUAGGGCAACUUCGGGAAUGGACGAGAGUCUGAGCGAGAAAGGCCGAGUGAGUGAAGAAGGUCGUCGGAUCGGAAAGCUCUGUUGUAAGAGAGGAACGGGUGUGAGCGUGGAAAGUUCACUCUGUGACGGUAGUUGACCAGAAAGGAACGGCUAACUACGUG
This 505-nucleotide ribosomal RNA is filed under the name uncultured bacterium. RNAcentral describes it as "partial 16S ribosomal RNA". It matches the Rfam family "Bacterial small subunit ribosomal RNA", at positions 28 to 507 of the family's 1533-position model. The record is from RNAcentral.